This is a long non-coding RNA of Rhododendron vialii, 517 nucleotides long. RefSeq lists it as uncharacterized. The record is from RefSeq and is a predicted model, not a curated record. Lineage: Eukaryota; Viridiplantae; Streptophyta; Magnoliopsida; Ericales; Ericaceae. The transcript is spliced from 2 exons.
AUUGGUUAAGGCUUUGGGAUUGCGUUCUGUGCAGAUUGAAAGUGGGAGAAUAGAACGCAUAAGCAGGCCGGAGAAUCGCUAUUUGGGAGGAAAAAAAAAAAGAAGAAGUCCAAGAAGAUGCAGAAAUUAAACAACAAUUAAAAGGAGCUAUUUUGAUACAAAACAUAUAUAUAGAUUGGAUCCCCACAGACAUCCAUAAGCCUCCUCACAAAACAGACAACCAAGGAACCAACAGGACGACUGAAAAUUCAAAACAUGAAUUUUGGUACAGAGGUCCAGGUUGUUUUAUUAUAGACUAUAUAUGUAUAAUCCAGUACUAAACACACAAACAGAGAACAAACAUUAAUUCUGUCUUAUUUUUCCAGGAGAUGAAACUGUGAGUGGUAUGUCGGAGGCUAGCUGCAGGAUCCAUUUCGAUCUAUCGAUCAACAGUUACAUGGGUCACAUUUACACGGGCUACAUUUGCAACCUUGCCCUCCCUCUGCUCCGACGCCCUUCUCUGUCUCCUCCGAGUCCC